RNAcentral lists this ribosomal RNA (490 nucleotides) under uncultured bacterium. RNAcentral describes it as "partial 16S ribosomal RNA". It matches the Rfam family "Bacterial small subunit ribosomal RNA", at positions 30 to 507 of the family's 1533-position model. The record is from RNAcentral.
AUUGAACGCUGGCGGCAUGCUUUACACAUGCAAGUCGAACGGCAGCGGGGUAGUGCUUGCACUACUGCCGGCGAGUGGCGAACGGGUGAGUAAUAUAUCGGAACGUACCGAGUAAUGGGGGAUAACCAAUCGAAAGAUUAGCUAAUACCGCAUACGUCCUGAGGGAGAAAGCGGGGGAUCGCAAGACCUCGCGUUAUUCGAGCGGCCGAUAACUGAUUAGCUAGUUGGUGGGGUAAAGGCCUACCAAGGCGACGAUCAGUAGCGGGUCUGAGAGGACGAUCCGCCACACUGGGACUGAGACACGGCCCAGACUCCUACGGGAGGCAGCAGUGGGGAAUUUUGGACAAUGGGGGCAACCCUGAUCCAGCCAUGCCGCGUGUAUGAAGAAGGCCUUCGGGUUGUAAAGUACUUUUGUUAGGGAAGAAAAGGGAAGUGCUAAUACCACUUUUUGCUGACGGUACCUAAAGAAUAAGCACCGGCUAACUACGUG